Xyrichtys novacula (pearly razorfish) is the source of this 1534-nucleotide non-coding RNA. The record is from the annotation of a GenBank genome assembly. Lineage: Eukaryota; Metazoa; Chordata; Actinopteri; Labriformes; Labridae.
AGCUGAUCCAGAUCUCCUGCGGUAAAUCCACUUCCUGUUGGUAAGAUCUCUCUGGACUGUCCCUCUUAUUCUACGGCGUGUUCUUGGAUUUGAUGACCACCCUGUUUGUCUUUCUAACAUCUGCAGGUGUCUCAGGUCUCGUCUCUCUAAUCCAGUAAAUACAGGUGUGUGUGUGUCCAUGUACAGAUGGGGUAUUUGACGCCUCCUCCACAGGGUAAUGGUCCGCUCCUGGAUCCUUUUAUUUCUUUCCUCUAAAAUAAAGAUUUUCUGUUGGAGCCUCAGCCUGUAAUCCAUGCCUGCUGACCGCUAAAUCAUUACGUUUAAGGAUCCAUGGGGGGGUCAGAGCCAUUGACUCCGUCCUGGAGUACCGACUAUUAUCCCAUCAAGCAGGAAUACAGGGCCUGUAAUAAGCUCUGUCUCUCUCUUCUAUGAGGCCCUCUCUUGUUAUUCUCUCCAUCUCAUCCUCUCCGCUCCCCGAGGUUUCCACGAUCGAUAAUCCUCUCUGUCUUUGUCGUUGUUUGAUUCGUCUCUGUUGUCCCCGUUAAAUAUCAUCUUUCUGACAACAGUCAAUAACCGCAUCCAGCAGCUUCAGUGACCGUGGCGCUCUGGUCUCAAACUGAGCCCUCUGGUCCCGGGUCUUUGACUUUUGAUUGAGCUCUGAGGGACCGACCCCUAAGUCCGACCAGCAUGGGGUUUAAAACGUGGGUUUGAUUAUAAGUGGGUGAGAUUUCUCUGCUCUUAUCUAAAUGUCUCCAGGUUCUACACGGAUUCAUGCCGAUCACUUUGACUCUUGUCUCUUAUUUACGAUGGUAGGACUGAUUGUCUCGUUUUGUAUUUCUGUGCUUUUUCUCCAGAAUAAAAUCCUAAAGUCUGGCCUACAUCGAGGUUUAUAACCGACACAUGAACUAAAUGAUCAUAGAAACGAAAUGAAAUGAUCAUAAUUGUUCUUCCUUGAGCUGCGGCACCCCGCUGUAGUCCGUAAUGGACUGGCCUGAGGUCUCACUACAAACAAGCGUCUGCUGGAAGAGAGUAGGUGAGUUGUGUUUAGUCUCUUUGCUAAAGAAAUGAGUCAAAGUUAAAAAGAUGUUUGGUGUCUAGUACUAUGUCUGUGACCCUAUAUGUACUAACCUCAGUAGAUCAUGCUGUAGUUCCAUUUAGUAACAGAACCUCAUUGGAAAAUUAGCUGAUUUAACUUUACUGUGCUCUUGUUCACAUAUAUUAACUCGACAGCACAUAAAUUCAUACCUGUUAACAAAAUCAUGAUUUUAUUGAUAAUUCAGCUCAAUAAAAACACCUUUACCUUUUUAUUUUACUACAGUAGAAGUUUAUUGGCCCACAUUAUAGACUACAGAGGUGGAGAAAUGAGUGGGGUCAAACUUGGCGUUACGGUGUGUUUGAUCCUAAUUUAAUUUUACGCCGGAAUAUCCCUUUAAAUCAGAGGAGUGUAAGAUAAAGUCUGUUUUCAGAUCCCAAAGUCCACAGACUAUGAAGACCUGAUCAAAAUACUCUCAAAGGGGGUAGACUAAACUCAGAU